Lycium barbarum (goji berry) is the source of this 1467-nucleotide long non-coding RNA. RefSeq lists it as uncharacterized. NCBI's taxonomy places the organism in Eukaryota, Viridiplantae, Streptophyta, Magnoliopsida, Solanales, Solanaceae. The transcript is spliced from 4 exons. The record is from RefSeq and is a predicted model, not a curated record.
UAAUAUAUCUGAGUUUGUUUUAAGUUGCAUGUAUCUAUUUGCUGGGAUUUCUUGGGACUAUUUCUACUAUUUACUUGAUCCAGUUUGUUACGAUGAUGUAGAAAGCAUUUUCUGUACAUUCUCUUUUACGAUAAAUAAUUCCCGGUUUCAGUAUGUUUACAUCAUUUGCUCAUUUUAGUUCGAAGAUCUAGAAUACUGGACGGGCUUGGUUUCAGUAAUAACAAACAGAAGCAUGUAUCUAAAGACAGGAAAAAGACAGGGGAAGAGCAGAGUUGAUGUGAGGAGUUCCAAACCUUUACCAUACGGCAAUUUAGCAAAAUUGAGUCGUAAAGUCAGCUGAUAUCCUUCUUUUGGAGGCUCAACAAUCUCCACAACUUCAGCACUAAUUGCUUUUACCUUCUUUAUAGUGUAACGUGAAAGCCGAGUUGAGAUCAAGAAUGCUUGAGACAGAAUUGGGGUUGAUAUUGAUAAAAAAAAAUUGAUGUGUGCUAGUGGUUGCUUGUUGCUCUUACCUGAAUGUAAUAGUCAACGGACCCAAAUUCAUGAAGGUGAUGGUCGGCAUCAAUGGCCCGUUCAUCUCUGUCUCAAGAAUAUAAAAAAGCAUGAUCAUUCGGGACCAACUUAGCACAAACUCGGAGAAUAUGGUGGUUGGCUCAUCUCAUCUCUUUUGAGCACUUUGGUAAAUCCAGUAUAUUUGCUUGUGGUUACAAAAAAUGGCAUUCCCUCAAGUUUGUUCAAUAUUGCUGUCACUAACUGGACUGUUGAACUUGAAAGCAACAUUUGAUAGUGCAAAAAAUAAAUGUUGUCCUAGAAUUAGACUUCUACUUGUACAACGCCUUCUCUUGUCUGCCAAAUAUAACCCUUUUUCUGCACACUCAAUUUCAUUCUACUUCCACAUCAUAACAACAACAUACCCAGUGUUUCCCACAUCAUAAAUAUUCAUAUAUUCGUAUUCAUCGGCAAUGUUCACUAAUCCUGUAUUUAUGCAAAACUUAAUUGCACUUUACCUAAUGAUUCCUGCUUAAUCUGUACUAUUGCCUUAUGUUUUGUACUUUCUCCUCUUUACUUUAUGAGAUGUUCUCAAACAAGUUCUGUGAAUUUUAUUCUAGAUUUUUCUAAAGACGACUUAGGCAGAUGGAAAGAAAUCACCUAGUGUUUUUGUUUCCGCUGAUCUGAACCUGUGACCUCAUAGUUCUUCCCCCACUACAUUGACCACUAGGCCACAACCUUGAGUUUAUUUUAGUUUCUAGUAGUGUGAUCUUGAAACUUUUAGUGAAAAAGUAAUGUUCACUAUCAUGUUUUCGACAGACUAGAAUUACUAUGGAAAUUGGAAGUUGGAACUGAACUCGAAUAUUAAACAAAACCUAUUUACUAGGUCUUGAAAUUACAGAAGUUGUUAUGGCUCAUAUUAUGGCUGCCAUUCUGGAACAGGUCAUGAUUCUAACUUAUUCAAGAUAGAUAUAUAAU